Molecule: non-coding RNA, 110 nt
Organism: Ceratobasidium sp. 392
Lineage: Eukaryota; Fungi; Basidiomycota; Agaricomycetes; Cantharellales; Ceratobasidiaceae
Source: the annotation of a GenBank genome assembly
GCCCUGAUGGUCUAGUGGUAUGAUUCACCCUUAGGGAGCUCUUCGGGAUUCAAUUUGAACCCCGAUUUUCCGUGUGGGUGAGGUCCCCGGUUCAAUUCCGGGUUAGGGCC